CCUACGGGUGGCAGCAGUGAGGAAUAUUGGUCAAUGGCCGGAAGGCUGAACCAGCCAUGCCGCGUGAAGGUCAGUGCCCUAUGGGCGUUAAACUUCUUUUGUGCGGGAGCAAUAAUGGUCACGUGUGGCCAGACGAGAGUACCGUACGAAUAAGCAUCGGCUAACUCCGUGCCAGCAGCCGCGGUAAUACGGGGGAUGCAAGCGUUAUCCGGAUUUAUUGGGUUUAAAGGGUGCGUAGGCUGUGAGGUAAGUCAGCGGUGAAAUGCCCCCGCUCAACGGGGUGAAGUGCCAUUGAUACUGGCUGGCUGGAAUGCGGAUGCCGUGGGAGGAAUGUGUGGUGUAGCGGUGAAAUGCAUAGAUAUCACACAGAACACCGAUUGCGAAAGCAUCUCACGAAUCCGCGAUUGACGCUGAUGCACGAAAGCGUGGGUAUCAAACAGGAUUAGAUACCCUUGUAGUC
RNAcentral lists this ribosomal RNA (460 nucleotides) under uncultured bacterium. Its description in RNAcentral is "partial 16S ribosomal RNA". It matches the Rfam family "Bacterial small subunit ribosomal RNA", at positions 338 to 795 of the family's 1533-position model. The record is from RNAcentral.